RNAcentral lists this long non-coding RNA (577 nucleotides) under Elaeis guineensis (African oil palm). Its description in RNAcentral is "long non-coding RNA (EGUI_LNC019674)". The record is from RNAcentral. Lineage: Eukaryota; Viridiplantae; Streptophyta; Magnoliopsida; Arecales; Arecaceae.
CGGCGAGGGCGGUCCAAGUUCAGGAUGAGGAACUUGAGCAAAAUCAGAUGUUAUCGGUGUGACGAAUAGAGGCAUCUAGCCAGAGAUUGCUCUUAACUCAGAGAUCGGACGAGGACUACUGUAGCGACGGUGAGUAACGACUCAGAGGGUGAUGCCUUGGAGAUAUCUGAUGAGGUAUCUACUUUUUUCCAGCAAUGAAUUUUAGAUUCUGCAUGUACCUAUCAUGUAUGUUACAGAGAGGAGCAGUGAAGGUACUAUUUAUCUAUCGGAUGGAUCGAGCUAUACGAUCAGAGAUAUCGAGAUAGUCAGUUGGAGGACACAUGAUGAUGCAAUGAGGAGAUUGGGGGAGGUCCGAUACAUACUCGAUUUUAGAUGAAAUCUUAUCUCAUUGAGCAGACUGGAUUUGAGAGGAUGGUAGUUGGUCGAGAAAUCUUGAAAGUGUUGCAUGGCGAUAGGAUUAUUCUGAAGGAGAAAAAGAGGAUGAGAGGACAUUAUUACCUGGUGAGGAGCCCAGUGCGAGAUGGAGCUUCAGGAGCUAGAAGAAGCCCAAAGAAAGGUAGUGCUUCUGAUGGAGAUG